Molecule: long non-coding RNA, 2323 nt
Organism: Alexandromys fortis (reed vole)
Lineage: Eukaryota; Metazoa; Chordata; Mammalia; Rodentia; Cricetidae
Exons: 4
Source: RefSeq, a predicted model, not a curated record
GCCAUUAAGCGGAAAUCACUAUCGAUAUCUUCCUGUUUGGAAACUGAUACUGGUAUCUAUGGCUAUGUUGGCCAAGUUUCAAGUGAACGGACCACGAUUGAUGGCUCAUAUCUGAACCCCAGGGGUCAGAAAGCUUAGGCAGGAAGAUAAAGGAGUGUUCAAGGUCGUCCUGGCCUACACAGUUAGUUCAAGAGAGAGAUUGAGGAAUCUGGACGUGGGAGAUGGCUUAAUGUAGAAAAACUCUUACUGAGCCACUGUAUUCUGAAUUCAUAUUCUUCAAACCAUUAUACAACAAGGUACAGAAGAGCCCGUCAAUAAUUCUUGAACUUCAGCAGAGACAUGGGAAUUGGAAACAAGAAACUAGAAGGCCAGCCUAGUCUACAGAGAAAAGAAACUGGAGGGCUAGCGUGUCCUCCAGAGUGCUGAGAAACAGGAGACAAGGAUCAAAUAAAGAGGAUGAUCAUCUUACUAUCUCGACCAAGCUACCCUGGAACUUGCUCCAACUCUGGAGUGCUGGGAUUAAAGGCAGGAGUGCUGGGAUGUAAAAGGAGAGACCAGCAUGGGGCCCCUGGCUCGAGCUCUGCCUGCUCUUUCUAAUCCUGCUGCAGAAGUUGUUCUGGCCUGGACGCUUGCUUCUAGAUCUCAGCGAGACCGUGUGUUUCCCAUCACCACAUGGAAAUGUGUAGACGCAUCUUCCUGAGGCUUUAUCUGCUCUUCAGAGGUGGAAACCCGUUGACCUACAAAAUGCUGUACCUUCGGUCCCACUCUGUGUUCUUCACCUUGGUGAAUAAUUCAUUCAACAAAUAUACUGUGCAGCUAGCGAGUGCUAGGCUCGAUAGACUCGAGGAAUAAAAGAUAAAUAAAUGCCGGCUGCCAUCAAGAAGACUGGAGGGAGGAAGGAAACAAGAAAAAAAAAAAGUCAAGGAAAACAGCCGCUGAUAUGACAGUGUCCUUAGCUUAGGUUUUCAUACCCGUGAGGGAAAGGGAUGAUCGUCCCCUGAACAGAGGAGAAAAGUAAAGUCUGAAAGGAAGGCGCAUUGCCAUGCCUCCCCUGAGAAAUGCAAAGAGAAGUAAAAUAACACCUGGUUUCAGGAAUUGCCAAAACCUAGAGGAUGCAGCCUGCAAUUUGUUGUGAAUCUGAGAGAGGGUAAACAUGUUUCAAUACAGAGAGUAGAAUUUAAAAUGCAAAUCACUUCAAUGAACAGGAAAAGCUCCACAGAAACCUAGAGGUUAAACUAUUAAAACGAUCACCAUCAUAAUACACCCCCCCACACGCCUAUUCUCUCAGUCGGUUUUCUCAGGCCUUGUGAGGUAGGAGGGUAGGCAUUCCGAUUUCCACGCCGCUGAAGUGGAAACAACCCUCUAGGCUGUUCAUAGAGAAUAAUGCGAUGUGGAUGAAAUUGACCGGCCCAAGAAGGGGGUGGGGUGCUGUUUUACAGUUGGAGUGAGCUGUGGUGUUGUCCCCAACGAGCUGUGUGUGAGACUUUCGGCAAGGCAAUUAACCUUUUCUGGCUACAAUUUUCUCAUCUGUAAAAAUAGAGGUUCCAGAUCUUUCCUUCUCAAAGGCUCUUCAGUUGGGAGAUGACGCCUCAGCACCUGGUCACAGGGCUCUCAGCCCAGUGUGUGGCUUGGUCAGCCUCAGAGGCAACCCUCCAUCCCAGUACUUCCUAGUGUUUCAGGCUUGCCCUGGCAAUAUCAAGGCUAGAAGGAAACGUCUUGAUUUCCUGGUCAUAUGGUUUGGUCUCAUACACAAUUUAAUUUGUAAGUGUGCAUGUUCACGUUUGUAUGUGGAGACCAGAGAUCAAUGUCAAGUUUUACUUGUUUGUUGAGACAGGAUUUUUCUCUGACCUCAGACUUAUCAAUAGUAUCCUGACUCCAUCAAGCCCCAGGACUCUAUCUACCCGUCCCAGCCUCCCCAGCACUGGAAAGGAGCACCUGGCACCAUCCCUGACUCUGUUGCAUGAUGUGGAAUUACAGUUUCCUCUGUAAACUGUGAAGACCAUUGGUUAAUAAAGAAGCUGCUUUCUGCCUCCGCCUACCAUUGCAUAGGUUAGAACGAGCAGACUCAGGACCUCCUGCUUGUUGGCAAGCACUUUACAACAUAGGAUAAAUAUUAAUUGAUUUUUAGACCUCUAUUUUAAUUAUAGUCAGGCCAAGCAGAUUGGAAGGUUGGUGAAUGGGCCUUGCUAGUUGGAAACUCUGAGUCUAAUGACCCGUGGCUGGAGAGACACUGGAGAAAAUUCUAGGUGAAUGUAAAUGACAAGCCCAGACACGAUAGGAAUUUGGGACUGCACUGUAGUCUUUCUGGCCUGGAGAGCUAGGA